Molecule: ribosomal RNA, 460 nt
Filed under: uncultured bacterium
Lineage: Bacteria
Description: partial 16S ribosomal RNA
Rfam family: Bacterial small subunit ribosomal RNA
Source: RNAcentral
CCUACGGGAGGCUGCAGUGAGGAAUAUUGGUCAAUGGACGCAAGUCUGAACCAGCCAUGCCGCGUGCAGGAAGACGGCUCUAUGAGUUGUAAACUGCAUUUGCACGAGGGUAAACGCAGAUACGCGUAUCUGUCUGACAGUAUCGUACGAAUAAGGAUCGGCUAACUAUGUGCCAGCAGCCGCGGUAAUACGGAGGAUCCAAGCGUUAUCCGGAUUUAUUGGGUUUAAAGGGUGCGUAGGCGGUCGGAUAAGUUAGAGGUGAAAUCCCGAGGCUCAACUUCGGAAGUGCAUUUGAUACUGUUCGGCUAGAGAGUAGUUGCGGUAAGCGGAAGGUAUGGUGUAGCGGUGAAAUGCUUAGAGAUCAUACAGAACACCGAUUGCGAAGGCAGCUUACCGGGCUACUUCUGACGUUGAGGCACAAAAGCGUGGGGAGCAAACAGGAUUAGAUACCCGUGUAGUC